RNAcentral lists this ribosomal RNA (253 nucleotides) under uncultured bacterium. RNAcentral's name for it is "partial 16S ribosomal RNA". It matches the Rfam family "Bacterial small subunit ribosomal RNA", at positions 524 to 776 of the family's 1533-position model. The record is from RNAcentral.
GACAGAGGGGGCAAGCGUUGCUCGGAAUCACUGGGCGUAAAGGGUGCGUAGGCGGGGCUUUCAGUCAGGGGUGAAAUCCUGGAGCUCAACUCCAGAACUGCCUUUGAUACUGAAGAUCUUGAGUUCGGGAGAGGUGAGUGGAACUGCGAGUGUAGAGGUGAAAUUCGUAGAUAUUCGCAAGAACACCAGUGGCGAAGGCGGCUCACUGGCCCGAUACUGACGCUGAGGCACGAAAGCGUGGGGAGCAAACAGG